GGCAUGUAGAUAUAUUCAGGUCAGGAGUCUUCUCAAACAUGUGAAGUUUGGGGCAGAUUGGACAUUGUAUGUCUGAGUUAGAGCAACUUCCUUUUUCAUGGCGAAACAUCGAAAUUUGUCAGGCCGCCAUGGACACGCCGUUUAACGAAACCUCAAGAUCUUCGCAAUUUAAUAUCGCAAAGGGCUUUAGAUUACACUGAGCAAUUUUGGUGUUGAUCUGAAUAAAUCUCUAGGAGGAGUUCGUUAAAGUACAACCCCUGAAAAUGGCAAAAACAACACCAAUUUUGCAGGGAAAAUUCAAAAUAACCGACUUCCUGUUGGGAUUCGGAUUUCGUACCAAGAGACUUUUUUGUAGGUAUUGGUGUGUUACAUGUGUGUACCGAUUUUCGUACAUGUACGUGAAACAUAGCUCGAGGCGCACUCCGUUGAAUCUGUAUAGGUGGCGCUAUCGAGCCAUUUUUCCACACCCGAUGGAAUAUUGGCCUUCAGAUGUGUUCAGGCCAGGAAUCUUAUCAAACAUGUGAAGUUUGGGGAAGAUCGGACAUUUUAUGCCUGAAUUAUAACAUCUUUUAUUCCCAUGGCGAAACAUCGAACUUCGUCACGGCGCCAUGGACACGCCUUUUAACGAAA
Cyprinus carpio carpio is the source of this 630-nucleotide long non-coding RNA. The record is from Ensembl. NCBI's taxonomy places the organism in Eukaryota, Metazoa, Chordata, Actinopteri, Cypriniformes, Cyprinidae.